CAAAACUCGUGUGACUUCCGUAGGUGAACCUGCGGAAGGAUCAUUACCGUAGUUUUCGAGCUCCGGCUCGACUCUCCCACCCUUUGUGAACGUACCUCUGUUGCUUUGGCGGCUCCGGCCGCCAAAGGACCUUCAAACUCCAGUCAGUAAACGCAGACGUCUGAUAAACAAGUUAAUAAACUAAAACUUUCAACAACGGAUCUCUUGGUUCUGGCAUCGAUGAAGAACGCAGCGAAAUGCGAUAAGUAAUGUGAAUUGCAGAAUUCAGUGAAUCAUCGAAUCUUUGAACGCACAUUGCGCCCCUUGGUAUUCCGGGGGGCAUGCCUGUUCGAGCGUCAUUACAACCCUCAAGCUCUGCUUGGAAUUGGGCACCGUCCUCACUGCGGACGCGCCUCAAAGACCUCGGCGGUGGCUGUUCAGCCCUCAAGCGUAGUAGAAUACACCUCGCUUUGGAGCGGUUGGCGUCGCCCGCCGGACGAACCUUCUGAACUUUUCUCAAGGUUGACCUCGGAUCAGGUAGGGAUACCCGCUGAACUUAAGCAUAUCAAUAAGCGGAGGAACAGAGAAAUGUAGCUACUGC
Molecule: ribosomal RNA, 580 nt
Filed under: Lasiodiplodia theobromae
Lineage: Eukaryota; Fungi; Ascomycota; Dothideomycetes; Botryosphaeriales; Botryosphaeriaceae
Description: eukaryotic LSU rRNA
Rfam family: 5.8S ribosomal RNA (bases 185-338)
Source: RNAcentral